CAGUGAAUAGUUUAUUUAAAACAUUAAUUUUGGAGAUUAAAGAUAGGCAUAUUUGCUUUUUACUGA
Molecule: transfer RNA, 66 nt
Filed under: Dolycoris baccarum (sloe bug)
Lineage: Eukaryota; Metazoa; Arthropoda; Insecta; Hemiptera; Pentatomidae
Also listed under: 2 other names
Description: tRNA-Pro
Source: RNAcentral